UUCCACCUUUCCUGGAGCCAGCAAACCUGCCGGAGCUGGGGCCAGAAGUGCCGCGGCUGGGCUUCCCGGGAACGGCCUCUCCUCUACUUCCCUGACAGGGCCACCUUUUGGUUCCCGUCCUAGCACCCCCCUUUCUGUCUCCGAAGCAGUCUCUGCCCUCCUCCUUCGGCCUUCUUCCUCCGGGAUCUGCAUCUCAGCUCCUGCCUCUCACUCCCUCUCUGUCUGCCUUCUGUUUCUCUUUGGGUGUCUCCCAGCUCUCCUCUUCCUGGCCUGGCUCCUCUCUCUGAUCCUGCCUCUCUUCCUCUUCCCCCUUGCCUUACCCCCUCUCACUCUAGACCCUCACCUCCAGCCUCUGGCCCUGACCUCGAGCUGUGUCCUGAUUCCGUCUCCGCCCCAGGACGGCAGGGCUCCGGGAGGUCUGGGCUGCCUCCAGCUUCCCACUCCCAGGUUGCGGCUGGACUGGGACUGGUUCCUUUCCAGUUGAAUCUGGCAGCCAAGCCUCUCCUCCCCCUCACCUGACAGGUGCAGCGGCCUGACUGGGGAGCCCGCCUGCCGGCUGGCCAGAAGUAGAAGCAACAGGAGCCUCAUUAGCAUCUCAAUUAAAGGUGAGCAGGGCGUGGGGAGAAGCCGAGUAGGAGUCAGAGCUGGGAGUUUUCCGAAGGGAGGAGGGAUCCAGAGGGCAGGUGAACCCGGAGUAUUGGACCUGAGACGGUGGACUCUGGGCAGGGGCUUUGAUUCGGAGCUGAUAGGCAAGGAGGCUGGGGGACAGGAUGGAGGUGGAAGGGCAAAGAUCUGAAUAAGUAGAAGGAUCCUGAGCCCACAGCCUGGAGGGCAACGCAAAGAGAAGGGGCCAGCCAGGUUGAGAGGGCCUGGAUGGGGAACCCUGAGGCUGGGAGGACAGAAAAAGGGAGGUAAUAGAGAGGGACAGUGGACAGCGCGGGACGGAGAGACAGGGAUGGAAGCGGGGCACCGAGUGAGCAGAGGUGGAGAGGGGGCUGCACAGAGAAGGAACCGGCCCCAAAGGGAGCCGCUCUCCAGGCAGGAGUGCAAGGGGGAAGUCCUAAGUGUGCUUCCAGGAGCUAGAGUCUCUGCAAGUGGGAAACCCGCCAAGGGCACUGGCAGGUCAGCCUCACCCCAGGCCCAGGAGAGAAGAGAGAAGAGGUCUCCGUAAGUCUCCUCCUGCUCACUCAGGUGGGGUGCAUCUGCCUCCACCUGGUCCAUCCUCUUUCCUGCUGAUUCCUCACCACCCCCUCCGACCUCGUCCAGACCCAGGGAGGGGCCCAGAUGCAAGGAGAGAGACCAGGCGUAUUGAUCUUGGUGACCUCAGUGUCUAGUGGUCUUUGCUUGCUGACCCACUCUGCGGAAGACAGCAGAACUACCUUCUUGGCUGUAUCAUUCUCUGUGGUGGGACAGGACGAUUCUGUCCUAUCUACAAUUCUGUGCAUUGCUGCACAUUUACCAGCAUCCCUGGCUUCCAUCUGUCAGAUGCCAGUAGAACUUCCUCCUGAGUCAUCGUGAUCAAAACCAUCUCCUAAUAUUGCCAAGUGACUUCUGGGGGACAAAGUCACCCCCGCCGAAAAGACUGGGUUAAGGCAUUGUCACCACUGAAAAUGCAAACACUCUGGAGAAGGACAACCCUCAUCAGUUACACACUUCUGGGUGUUUGCCAGCUCCUUUCCAAGAGCACUAGUCAGCUAAGAGCGGAGUGGGAAAGAAGGGACAGAGUAUUUAGAAGAAUCCAUUCCUGGCUGGGUGCAGUGACUCACACCUGUGAGCCCUUUGCACU
This is a non-coding RNA of Saimiri boliviensis boliviensis (Bolivian squirrel monkey), 1786 nucleotides long. Lineage: Eukaryota; Metazoa; Chordata; Mammalia; Primates; Cebidae. The record is from RefSeq and is a predicted model, not a curated record.